This 299-nucleotide ribosomal RNA is filed under the name uncultured bacterium. Its description in RNAcentral is "partial 16S ribosomal RNA". It matches the Rfam family "Bacterial small subunit ribosomal RNA", at positions 475 to 776 of the family's 1533-position model. The record is from RNAcentral.
CUAUGCGCCUUGCCAGCCCGCUCAGGUGUGCCAGCAGCCGCGGUAAUACGUGGGUGGCAAGCGUUGUCCGGAUUUACUGGGUGUAAAGGGCGUGUAGCCGGGCUGACAAGUCAGAUGUGAAAUCCGGGGGCUCAACCCCCGAACUGCAUUUGAAACUGUUGGUCUUGAGUAUCGGAGGGGCAGGCGGAAUUCCUAGUGUAGCGGUGAAAUGCGUAGAUAUUAGGAGGAACACCAGUGGCGAAGGCGGCCUGCUGGACGACAACUGACGGUGAGGCGCGAAAGCGUGGGGAGCAAACAGG